GUGGUAAUGCCGGAUGCUCCAGUUGACCGCAUGGUCCUCUGGGAAAGAUUCAUCGGUAUGGGAUGGGGUCGCGUCCUAUCAGCUUGAUGGCGGGGUAACGGCCCACCAUGGCUUCGACGGGUAGCCGGCCUGAGAGGGCGACCGGCCACAUUGGGACUGAGAUACGGCCCAGACUCCUACGGGAGGCAGCAGUGGGGAAUAUUGCACAAUGGGCGCAAGCCUGAUGCAGCGACGCCGCGUGCGGGAUGACGGCCUUCGGGUUGUAAACCGCUUUUGACUGGGAGCAAGCCCUUCGGGGUGAGUGUACCUUUCGAAUAAGCACCGGCUAACUACGUGCCAGCAGCCGCGGUAAUACGUAGGGUGCAAGCGUUAUCCGGAAUUAUUGGGCGUAAAGGGCUCGUAGGCGGUUCGUCGCGUCCGGUGUGAAAGUCCAUCGCUUAACGGUGGAUCCGCGCCGGGUACGGGCGGGCUUGAGUGCGGUAGGGGAGACUGGAAUUCCCGGUGUAACGGUGGAAUGUGUAGAUAUCGGA
Molecule: ribosomal RNA, 530 nt
Filed under: Bifidobacterium adolescentis
Lineage: Bacteria; Bacillati; Actinomycetota; Actinomycetes; Bifidobacteriales; Bifidobacteriaceae
Description: partial 16S ribosomal RNA
Rfam family: Bacterial small subunit ribosomal RNA
Source: RNAcentral